UGGGGAAUUUUGGACAAUGGGCGCAAGCCUGAUCCAGCAAUGCCGCGUGCAGGAAGAAGGCCUUCGGGUUGUAAACUGCUUUUGUCAGGGAAGAAAUCCUCUGGGUUAAUACCUCGGGGGAUGACGGUACCUGAAGAAUAAGCACCGGCUAACUACGUGCCAGCAGCCGCGGUAAUACGUAGGGUGCGAGCGUUAAUCGGAAUUACUGGGCGUAAAGCGUGCGCAGGCGGUUGUGCAAGACAGGUGUGAAAUCCCCCGGGGCUUAAACCUGGGAACUGCACUUGUGACUGCACGGCUAGAGUACGGUAGAGGGGGGAUGGAAUUCCGCGUGUAGCAGUGAAAUGCGUAGAUAUGCGGAGGAACACCGAUGGCGAAGGCAAUCCCCUGGACCUGUACUGACGCUCAUGCACGAAAGCGUGGGGAGCAAAACAGGAUUAGAUACCCUGGUAGUCCACGCCCUAAAACGAUGUCAACUGGUUGUUGGACGGCUUGCUGUUCAGUAACGAAGCUAACGCGUGAAGUUGACCGCCUGGGGAGUACGGCCGCAAGGUUG
This 553-nucleotide ribosomal RNA is filed under the name uncultured bacterium. Its description in RNAcentral is "partial 16S ribosomal RNA". It matches the Rfam family "Bacterial small subunit ribosomal RNA", at positions 355 to 896 of the family's 1533-position model. The record is from RNAcentral.